CCCUUAUCCUUGUUUGCCAGCGAGUAAUGUCGGGAACUCCAGGGAGACUGCCGGUGAUAAACCGGAGGAAGGUGGGGACGACGUCAAGUCAUCAUGGCCCUUACGAGUAGGGCUACACACGUGCUACAAUGGCGCAUACAGAGGGCGGCCAACUUGCGAAAGUGAGCGAAUCCCAAAAAGUGCGUCGUAGUCCGGAUUGGAGUCUGCAACUCGACUCCAUGAAGUCGGAAUCGCUAGUAAUCGUGGAUCAGAAUGCCACGGUGAAUACGUUCCCGGGCCUUGUACACACCGCCCGUCACACCAUG
This 305-nucleotide ribosomal RNA is filed under the name Vibrio parahaemolyticus. RNAcentral's name for it is "bacterial SSU rRNA". It matches the Rfam family "Bacterial small subunit ribosomal RNA", at positions 1102 to 1406 of the family's 1533-position model. Lineage: Bacteria; Pseudomonadati; Pseudomonadota; Gammaproteobacteria; Vibrionales; Vibrionaceae. The record is from RNAcentral.